GCAGGGACUCUCCCCUCAGCGCCUCGAUCGCAGAGAGAGAACAGAAUUCUUUUUAUAUCACCUGGAGCUUUACUAAGAAUGUCGCAUGAUUCUCCACUAAGUGGAACCCAUCCCUCCGGGGGCUUAUAAUAAAGUGAAGCACCACAGUGACAAAAUAAUCCUGCGGAAGGCACCAGGUUGGGGCAUGAAGUCCUGCUGCAGAUCCACUUGGGCUGUUGCUGAUGGAUCAGCUGAUGAGCAAAUCGUUUGAGCUCCCUCUGCCACCACGCCUGCCUCCUAAAUGGUGUGACAGCAGCUUGAAGAGAUCCACAGCUCUCCAAGAGCAGUUUCCUUGGUGGUUCUCAAAAACGCCUCAAGAAAAAUGUCCAACACUUAGCAAAACCUAAGGCAUUGUCUUUGAGGAGUCGCACACCAGCAGGAAGUGACCGAGGAAACUUGAGGAUCAGAGAGAAUAAGAGGUUUAUCCAAGGCCACCAUUGUCAGCAGACAAGCUGGGACUGCAAGCUGGAGAAUCUGACCAGGGCGCAGUGGACACUGCGAUGUGCUACCCAGAGCCUGUUCAGGAACAACUUAUCUCCCCAGCUGCUGGAAGUGCUAUCACAAGAGAGCCCUCAAAUGUCAAAGUGCCUCAGCUGACAAGAGUCACCUUGCCCAAGGUCAUACACCGUUUCCAGGUGGCUCACACCCAGUGAUGGAGGGUUACAAAGGACGCCAGCUGGGACAACUCUAAAGGGCCCUUCCAGCUCCACAGCUCCCCAAGGGGUCACCUGAGGCCUUCCUCUGCCCAUUCUGCUUCCUUCCUCUCCUUUCCACAGGUGUGGCUCCCCAGACCUCUCCCUAAUAAACACCCGGACAAUAAUCUUCCCCUCAGAGUUGACUUCCCAGAGAACCCAACAUGUGACAGUUGGGAGGUACCAGGAGUGGUUGGAGAAAGCAGACACUAAGAUGAGAUAUUGGAGCUGGAUCAUCUGCCACCAGACUGAUGAUGAAAACCCAUCGCUGGUGGGAGGCAGAGGCCAGACAGCCCUGGCACACGAUGGAAGCACAGUUGUUGGAACCUCCAGCAGUGGUGAAAAGGGACAGCAUAUGAGUGUAGGGAAUGCAUUAACUGGUGCCAUGCAUCCGGCACUUGAGAAAUGCAGGGGAAAUCAUUGCCAUAAGGACAACAGAAUUGCGUGACUACUGUUGAAGCUGAUUGACUUCUGGAAAAAGAUAAGGAAAACCUGAGAGUGAUUAAUCAACCAUUUAAAGCCAGGUUUGACAGCCAGGGGCCUUCUUGGGGGCAGGUAAAGAGGCUCUCAUCUUCUGCGGGGGGAGGCAGACAAGACUGAAGACAGGCAAGGAACUCCAUCUCCAGAGCAGCAGUUUCAGAAAGGCUUACACUUUUAAACAAGCCAUGCCUGCUGUACCAAGGCCAGGGCUCUGGUUGGAAAGAAUGGUCCCCUGACACAUGGGAUGGGAUGCCCAGGGUGAGGCUGCUGAGAAUCUUGAAAGUCUGGAUACUGCUGACCCCUCUGAGCCCACAGAAUAGGCUGCUCCUCCCCAGCCCCCUGCUUGAAGAUGGUGCAGAGGCCUCUCCCCGAUCAAACGUGUGUGCUCCUUUCAGGGUCAGACCCAUCUCCCCUUCUGGCCACAAAUCCUAUUACUAGGGUAAAGGCACAACUUAGCCCAGCCAGGGACAUGCUGGGCCUGAGAAGGAGGAAAGGGACUCUCCCACUAAGGAGCUGGAGCUGCAGGACCCACCACCUGGAGCAGCAGGGCGGGCAGGGCAUGCAGAGGACGGGACUCUGAGGAUGCUGGGGCAACGGGGGUGGAACACGACGGCUGAUAAAGGAAAUGUUAUGGGUUGGGAGCCUUCUCCUGGAUCCAGGAUGGAGCAUCCAAGGAAGGGCCUGGGGGAUGGUGCGGACAUGCUACCAGGAAGGCCCCUGGUAGUGGGAGAGGUGAUGCUGCACUGAGGCCAGAAUGCCAGAGCUUCAGCGGCACGUGGUGAAGAGAUUAAACUGCUCAGAGGAAUGUACAUGCUCACGGGGUAUCCUACACAAGGCUGGAAAACUCAGCAGGGGGAUAGACUCCCCAUGAAGGUCCAUGGGACACUCUGCUCCCCAAGGCACUAAGGAGUCCGCUGGUGAGAGGGGCUCCGGCUGCGCUCAGAAGUUCAGUGGUGGCUCUGCAGGACACGCUGCCACAGACCUGGACUCACCGACAGGAAAGGGAAUGAAAGGACUCCAAAACCACAGAGGCCACUUCAUGGCAUGUCACCAUCAGAAGCCAGGGGAGGCAAUUAUCACAGUGAGUGUGCAGGUCAGAGGUGUAGCCAGGGCUCCUGACCCACAGGGAGUUAGGAAAAUAGUUACUAGAACACAGGGCCCCUGGGGCAAAAUAGAGGGGCAGCCAAAAAGGAUAGCAUUCCAUCUGUGCAAUCAAGGAAAUCAAGCAUGGAGGAACUGGAGGCUGAGGGCAGUACCCCAGUUUCACUCAAUUUCUAGACGUGAUCCAGAUUUUGGACCCAGAGCUCACUGACUGGAGGAGAAUCUGUGUCCCCAGGAGGAGGGAAGGAGAGAAGGAAGGAAGGAACGAACGAAGGAACGAAGGAAGGAAGGAAGGGAGGGAAGGAUGGAGGAAGGAAGGAAGGAAGGCAGGGCCUGC
Long non-coding RNA from Equus caballus (horse), 2649 nucleotides. Lineage: Eukaryota; Metazoa; Chordata; Mammalia; Perissodactyla; Equidae. The record is from Ensembl.